Molecule: ribosomal RNA, 492 nt
Filed under: uncultured bacterium
Lineage: Bacteria
Description: partial 16S ribosomal RNA
Rfam family: Bacterial small subunit ribosomal RNA
Source: RNAcentral
AGUGAACGCUGGCGGUAGGCCUAGCACAUGCCAGUCGAACGGCAGCACAGUAAGAGCUUGCUCUUACGGGUGGCGAGUGGCGGACGGGUGAGGAAUACAUCGGAAUCUACUUUUUCGUGGGGGAUAACGUAGGGAAACUUACGCUAAUACCGCAUACGACCUACGGGUGAAAGCAGGGGAUCUUCGGACCUUGCGCGAUUGAAUGAGCCGAUGUCGGAUUAGCUAGUUGGCGGGGUAAAGGCCCACCAAGGCGACGAUCCGUAGCUGGUCUGAGAGGAUGAUCAGCCACACUGGAACUGAGACACGGUCCAGACUCCUACGGGAGGCAGCAGUGGGGAAUAUUGGACAAUGGGCGCAAGCCUGAUCCAGCCAUACCGCGUGGGUGAAGAAGGCCUUCGGGUUGUAAAGCCCUUUUGUUGGGAAAGAAAAGCAGCAGGUUAAUACCCCGCUGUUCUGACGGUACCCAAAGGAUAAGCACCGGCUAACUUCGCG